UAUAUGGUUACACUCUGAGGCUAGAUAAAGUUGAUCGAAUCUCAUUUUGUCUAUCAAUCCUAAUUGUUAUCAAAUUGAUCACAGUCGUUGACGUGAGCUGUGUACUUAUUUAAUGUAUCUCCAUUUGAAGGUUCAUACCAGUAUAUUAACCGAACGCUAGAAGAAAGCCAAAUCAUCGCCUAAGGUGUUCUGUAACAAUGAAUUCGGAUUCUAGAUACUUGAAUACCUUCCAAUCCAAAAUUUUCGUCAACCGACCUGUAAACCUUAGAAAAAUAAAAUACUAUGGCUUCGAUAUGGACUAUACCCUGGCCUUGUAUAAAUGGCCGGUAUACCAUGAAGCUCUAUUUCUUCAUGCUCUUGAUUCAUUUGUGUCAAUGGGAUAUCCGAAAGAGCUUGGAGCCUUGACCUAUGACAUCGACUUUCCAGUGAGAGGACUGUGGUUCGACACGCUCUAUGGGUGUUUCCUGAAAGUGGAUAGUUUUGGCAAUAUCUUCAUGUGUGCCCUGGGAUACCAAAUGAAGAGCAAGCGAGAGAUUGAAGAGUUGUACCCUGGCCGAUUUGUCACUUUCACUGAUAGAAUGUACAUAUUCAACACUCCAUUUCACAUCCCGGAGUUGAUGUUCUUCGCAGCUGUCAUUAAUUACUUUGUGGAAAAAGACCAACUUAGUGGACGUUCAAGCAAAACAGGUGUCUUCUUAGCAGAAGGAAGCUUCAAACAGUUCAGCGAGUUGUUUGCGGAUAUGAGGGAAGCAAUCGAAAUAGUGCACAUGAAAGGCAGAUUCAAGGAGUACAUCCUAGAACACAUUUCAGAAUACAUUGAGAAGGAUGAAAAGAUUCCUCUCCUGCUGCAAACAUUGAAGACAGAGGGAAGAAAAGUGUUCCUGGUUACAAACAGCGACUGGGAAUACACAAAUGGAAUCAUGACAUACUUGUUUGAUCAGCCAAUCAGCGAGGAUAUCAAGGGGUCAAACUGGUUCAAAUUAUUUGACCUGGUGGUGACUAGCAGCCGCAAGCCCAAGUUCUUCAAAGAGGGUACUGAACUGUACCGGGUGGAUCCAGCGACAGGCGAACAUGUUGCUAUGUUUGGUGAGAGUGGGAGUGGAGUGAUGCAGCCGAACUGCGUGUACAGUGGGGGAAGUGUGGAUCAACUGGAAGACGCAUUAGAUGUGCAGGGUCGUUCAGUGUUGUACAUUGGAGACCACAUUUUUGGAGAUAUUCUGAAGUGUAAGAAACACAAAGGCUGGAAGACUUUCUUAGUAGUGGAGGAGCUGGACCAUCAGCUGGCUUGCUGGGUCAAAUGUAAACCACUCAUCCGAGAAUUAGAGCGAGUGGACUUCAUAAAAGUAAACAACCACAGAGGUCACUACAGUCUCGCAUGUCAGGCAUCAGAAGCUGAAGAUGGUGAAAAGACAAUGAAUGGGGGUGAGGCAAUGACAAACGGGCUUUCAGAGGUGAAAAUGGGACUGAAAGAGAAAUUGAGGGCGGUAGAUUUGACUUAUGGGAAACUAGGAGGACUUUUCCAGAGUGGAUCGAGAGAAACAUUCUUCGCUUCACAGGUGAAAGGCUAUGCAGACAUCUAUGCCACCAGGUGCACUGAUCUGCUACACUACCCUCUGGACUUCCACUUCCACACACCCAGACAGAGACUGCCCCACGAGAUGGCCUGUGAGGACAUCCCAGAGUGGACCAGUGUGAGUGACUCAUUCGACAGGGAGCACAGACAGCUCAACAAGAUGACGUCAGCACAAGCUAGUGUCAUGAUGAAUCACCUGCCCAAUAUAGCAGCUGUCAAUUCCGACACUGAUUACCAGAAGCUGUAGUAAUUGAUCAGAGGAUCCGAAGCAAAAUCGCAAUUUAUUUUGAUUGGUGAUGCAAAUUGAUGGACGUCUGUGAGAGUAAUUCACGAAAGCGAAGGCAACAGGGUGCAAAUUUGAUGACAAGUUUUUAAUCGAAAUUUGCCAACAAUCUCCAGUGUUCAAUGUGAUAAGUCUAUUCCGAACAGUAGAUGAUUUCAAUCCAGUCUACUUGGGCUCACUAAUGUGUGACAUUGGACUGAUAUGGAUUCAAACAAAACCGAACUCUUACCAAGUUUCCGUCAAAAUUAACCCUCCCACUGAUUUGUACCUUGAUCCGACAACAAAUCCUCCGACUACAACUGUCGUCACAACUAGCGAGACGACGGCUACUUUUAAUCCGACACAACCUGUUACUUCUCAGAGCACUGUGAGAGUUGUUACGACACAGCAGCGUGAAACGAGCACGGAUUCGACUACAGCUUCUGUGAAGCC
This is an RNA transcript of Symsagittifera roscoffensis, 2288 nucleotides long. It is a transcript of the gene named cytosolic purine 5'-nucleotidase-like, with no coding region annotated. The record is from RefSeq and is a predicted model, not a curated record. The transcript has 6 exons. Lineage: Eukaryota; Metazoa; Xenacoelomorpha; Acoela; Convolutidae.